Molecule: RNA transcript, 1423 nt
Organism: Rhinopithecus roxellana (golden snub-nosed monkey)
Lineage: Eukaryota; Metazoa; Chordata; Mammalia; Primates; Cercopithecidae
Gene name: proline dehydrogenase 1, mitochondrial-like
Exons: 7
Source: RefSeq, a predicted model, not a curated record
UGCGCCUCCUCCCUCAGGACCGUGGACCUGCUGGACUGGGGCAGCCUCAUUGACAGCAGGACCAAGCUCUCCAAGCACCUGGUCGUCCCCAACGCACAGACAGGACAGCUGGAGCCCCUGCUGUCCCGGUUCACUGAGGAGGAGGAGCUACAGAUGACGAGGAUGCUACAGCGGAUGGAUGUCCUGGCCAAGAAAGCCAGGGAGGUGGGCGUGUGGCUGAUGGUGGAUGCCGAGCAGACCUACUUCCAGCCGGCCAUCAGCUACCUGACGCUGGAGAUGCAGCGCAAGUUCAAUGUGGAGAAGCCGCUCAUCUUCAACACGUACCAGUGCUACCUCAAGGAUGUCUGUGACAAUGUGACCCUAGGCGUGGAGCUGGCUCGCUGUGAGUGCUGAUGUUUUGGGGCCAAGCGGGUGCGGGGCACAUACCUGGCCCAGGAGCGAGCCUGUGCAGCAGAGAUCGGCUAUGAGGACCCCAUCAACCCCACGUACGAGGCCACCAACGCCAUGUACCACAGGUGCCUGGACUUCGUGCUGGAGGAGCUGAAGCACAACGCCAAGGCCAAGGUGAUGGUGGCCUCCCACAAUGAGGACACAGUGCGCUUCACGCUGCGCAGGAUGGAGGAGCUGCGCCUGCAUCCUGCUGACCACCAGGUGUACUUUGGACAGCUGCUAGGCAUGUGUGACCAGAUCAGCUUCCCGCUGGGCCAUGCCAGCUACCCCGUGUACAAGUAUGUGCCCUACGGCCCUGUGAUGGAGGUGCUGCCCUACUUGUCCCGCCGCGCCCUGGAGAACAGCAGCCUCAUGAAGGGUGCCCGUCGGGAGCAGCAGCUGCUGUGGCUAGAGCUCUUGCAGCGGCUCCGAAAUGGCAGCCUCUUCCGUCGCCCUGCCUAGCACCCGCCAGCCCACCCUCGGCCUCCAGGCCCCCUCGCCCCCACCCCAGGCCGUCACCGCAGCUGCAGCCAACCCCAUCCUCACACAGAGUCACCUUUUUUCACUCCAUACUUGCAGAGCUGCUGGAGGUGGGGUCAGGUGCCUCCCAGCCCUGCCCAGGAUCUGGGCACUCAGGUGUGAGCCGAACCUGCUACCUGCCUGGGAUAGCCACUGGGAACGGUUGGGAACUCUCCCCGGAUGUGUGGGCCCAAGGCCCCCACCUCUGUGACCCCCAUGUCCUCAGGCCUAGAGGAUUGUCCGCCUUCUGCCAGGGCCAGCCCACACAGCCCGAGCCCCUAGGGGAGCAGAGGCUGGGCUGGGGAGGCCCUGCCUGGCCAAUAAACCACUGUUCCUGCAGCUGAGAGCCCGUGCCCUCACACAGGGUCAGCUCUGGGCAGCAAAGAGGGAGUGGCUCAGACAGGGUCAGAGAAGCCUCACCGCAGACUCUGGCUUCCAGCAUCAUCUGUUUCUGGAGGCCGGGCCCUGCGCAGAC